UAUAACAGGCCUAGACAUGAUUUCAUCGAACGAUCAUACAUAAUCUAGGUGGGAGGAGUUAACGACUAGUCGCAUCCCUCUAUAUUACAUUAUAGGGCAUUUCAUGCCUACUAGGUGUAGACAUGAUUCUAUCAAAACAUCAUGCACUUAGAAAAGACAAGAAGGAAUUUAUACAUCAUGAAAGGAGUAAAGGAAAGCAAUAAAGUGACAUAAAAUUAGGCUUUGGCAUGU
Molecule: long non-coding RNA, 231 nt
Organism: Cucurbita maxima (winter squash)
Lineage: Eukaryota; Viridiplantae; Streptophyta; Magnoliopsida; Cucurbitales; Cucurbitaceae
Exons: 3
Source: RefSeq, a predicted model, not a curated record